GAAAUGCGAUAAGUAAUGUGAAUUGCAGAAUUCAGUGAAUCAUCGAAUCUUUGAACGCACCUUGCGCUCCUUGGUAUUCCUUGGAGCAUGCCUGUUUGAGUAUCAUGAAAUCUUCAAAGUAAAUCUUUUGUUAACUCAAUUGGUUUCUACUUUGGUAUUGGAGGUCUUUGCAGCUUCACACCUGCUCCUCUUUGUUCAUUAGCUGGAUCUCAGUGUUAUGCUUGGUUCCACUCGGCGUGAUAAGUUAUCUAUCGCUGAGGACACUGUAAAAGGUGGCCAAGGUAAAUGCAGAUGAACCGCUUCUAAUAGUCCAUUGACUUGGACAAUACUUUUAUGAUCUGAUCUCAAAUCAGGUAGGACUACCAUCUGAACUUAAGC
Molecule: unclassified non-coding RNA, 378 nt
Filed under: plant metagenome
Description: partial contains 5.8S ribosomal RNA, internal transcribed spacer 2, and large subunit ribosomal RNA
Rfam family: 5.8S ribosomal RNA (bases 1-105)
Source: RNAcentral